ACAGAGGAGGCAAGCGUUGUUCGGAAUCACUGGGCUUAAAGCGCGUGUAGGCGGCUUAGAAAGUGUCGUGUGAAAUCCCGCGGCUAAACCGCGGAACUGCACGGCAAACUACUUGGCUUGAGGUCGGUAGAGGUGCCUGGAACUCUAGGUGGAGCGGUGAGAUGCGUAGAUAUCUAGAGGCACGCCAGAAGCGACAGCGGGACACUGGGGCGAUUCUGACGCUGAGACGCGAAAGUGUGGGGAGUAAACAG
RNAcentral lists this ribosomal RNA (251 nucleotides) under uncultured prokaryote. Its description in RNAcentral is "partial 16S rRNA". It matches the Rfam family "Bacterial small subunit ribosomal RNA", at positions 525 to 775 of the family's 1533-position model. The record is from RNAcentral.